Non-coding RNA from Oryza sativa Japonica Group (Japanese rice), 1803 nucleotides. The record is from RefSeq and is a predicted model, not a curated record. Lineage: Eukaryota; Viridiplantae; Streptophyta; Magnoliopsida; Poales; Poaceae.
AAUGUGCUUCUGAACAUAUUUACCGUGUAACUCUAGCAUUCGUAGCAUACGGUUCCAAUGAUUCAUUGAGAACUAACUCAACAAUAGGAGAAAACAGAUUGCCUGAAUGGCAUUGUGCGUCAAAUCCCUGAUGCCUCCCAUUCCUGGUUUGUGGACACGCAACACAUGAUGCUCAACCAAUUUCUCUCCAUCACGGUGGCCUCUCUCGAUCUUGUUAAGCUUGUUUAUAUAAGGGGUGCUGGGUGUAGCUUGUGCUCAAUAUCUGACACACCAAACAUGCAUGCCAUAUGACUUAUAUAUAUAGGUGCCUGAUACAUAUUCACCGGUGGUUUUUCUCCGUCAUAUCCAGUUCACCUACGAAUUCAAGCAAUGAUUCUCCAAUAAAAAAUAAACAAAUGUACAUGGAUAAUUUGGCAAUAGUUUUUAAUGCGGAGUCUUGGCACAUCACUUCUGUUCAUGCACAUUCAUGUUGUAGUCACUUCUACCUAGCUAUCUUAACUCCAUCUAGUUGGUGUUAGCUCCAUCAGAUUGGUCCUAAUUAAUGAAUUCUAAUGAUUCAGGGGCAUUUUCAUCUGAAGAAGAAAAACACAUUUGAUCCAUAAAGGGUAGCUCUUCACCAAUUGUGAAGCACAUUACGAAAUUACAGAACUGAAAUUCCUAGAGCCUGCACGCCUUCAACAAGACACAUAUUUAUGUCUAGCUCUCCCUUGUUUGUUGUCUUAAUUAUAAACUUUGUAAUAACAGAACAUACUGGUUAAUGAUGCUAGUGCGCCCUUAUUACAGAGCAACUAUGGAUGUUUUUCUUUUCAGUUACAAAAUACUCCCUUCGUUUCAAAUUUUAAAUCGCUUUAAAUUUUUCCUGGUCAAACAUUAUAAAGUUUGACCAAAUUUAUAGAAAAACAUAGCGGUGGCUUUAACAUAAAACAAACAUAUUAUCAAAAUAUACUCAAUGUUAUAUUUAAUGAAACUAUUCUAGUAUUACAAUUGUUAUUAAAUUUUUCUACAAACUUGGUCAAAUCUAAAGUUGUUUGAUUAGAAAAAAAAAAGUCAAAACAACUUAUAAUAUGAAACAGAGCGAAAUAAAUAUAUACCUAGAAACAUCCCUGAUGUCCGACACUAAAUUGUCUACAGUUAGCCUUGUAAAUGUUCCUAUCAUAAAAGCAUCCAUGUAAAUUCCCCUUACUUAUAUGCCCUAGGGUGCAAGAGUUUUAACUGACACUAUAAAUAGACCCCAAGGGGCAUGUAAUGGGGGAUCGCAAAAAUAUCAAUAUUAAUACUUACUGUUUUACUUUUCCACCAAGACUAAACCACGUUCUUCGACAAACGCAUUUGUCAUUCGACAACAGCUGGCGCCGACCAUGGCCCUAAUCAUUCGUUGGGGGGAUCUCCAUCAAAUGUAGAAGGCAUAGCCAAGAAAAGCUUCGGUGCUAGUCUAUUCCAAGAUGCUUUUCAUUCCGAGUUCAUCAGAGACAAAGGUGCAAUUAAAAGCAUGGUGAGCAUGACGAGUGGUGUGGUCAGAGGCAUCGAUGGCAAAGACAUGAAGGCGCAGCUCCGUGUAAGGGAUUUUGUGAGCCUCUGUAUCAUCUGACGACUGAAAUAUGAGGGAUAUUUUUUUCUUUUGAUUGUCAGUUGUAGCUCUGUUCUAUAUACAUGUGUAAAUGCUAUGAACAGGGGUAGAAACUAAGCUGAUACUCCCUCUGUCUACAAAUGUAAUUAAGCAUUCUUAGAGUUACUCCCUCUGUCUACAAAUGUAAUUAAGCAUUCUUAGAGUGCUACGUGUUCGAGCAAGCACCUCUUGUUCAA